CCUACGGGAGGCAGCAGCAGGGAAUAUUGUGCAAUGAGCGAAAGCUUGACACAGCGACACCGCGUGUGGGAUGACGGUUCUAGGAUUGUAAACCACUUUCAGGAGGGAAGAAAAUGACGGUACCUCCACAAGAAGACCCGGCCAACUAUGUGCCAGCAGCCGCGGUAAUACAUAGGGGUCAAGCGUUGUCCGGAUUUAUUGGGCGUAAAGAGCUCGUAGGCGGUUCAACAAGUCGGUCGUAAAAGUUUAGGGCUCAACCCUAAAAUGUCGAUCGAUACUGUUGUGACUAGGAUACGGUAGAGGUGAAUGGAAUUCCGAGUGUAGCGGUGAAAUGCGUAGAUAUUCGGAGGAACACCAAUUGCGAAGGCAGUUCACUGGACCGUGAUCGACGCUGAGGAGCGAAAGCUAGGGGAGCAAACAGGAUUAGAUACCCUGGUAGUCCUAGCUGUAAACGAUGGAUACUAGAUGUAGGAACUGGAUUGACGGUUUCUGUAUCGUAG
Molecule: ribosomal RNA, 500 nt
Filed under: uncultured Actinomycetes bacterium
Lineage: Bacteria; Bacillati; Actinomycetota; Actinomycetes
Description: bacterial SSU rRNA
Rfam family: Bacterial small subunit ribosomal RNA
Source: RNAcentral